UAGAGUUAGAGUUUUUUUUGUGUUUUAUUUAAUUUAAAGUUGGUUUUAUUUCAAGUAAUGUUAUGGGUGUUAUAGUUUUAUUGAGAUACUAUUAUAUUUUUCUAUAAAUGUUUUUGUCAGUUUUACAGUUUUAAUAUUUUUGAAUGUAUAUGUGUGUGUGUGUGUGUGUGUGUGCGCGCGCGAGAGAGAGAGAGAGAGAGUUUAUUUGCAUAAACAGGUAACUUUUAUAAUUUUCAAACGUUUUUAUUGUGUUAUAAUGUUUUUAUUGUGUUAGUUAACUUUGUUUUUAUAGUUAUUUUUGUAUUGUUAUUUAGUCAAAACAACCCAACAGCAUAACUGAUAUUAAUUGGAAUGCAGGAUAAAAACAAAACAAAUACAAAACAUCAUUUUUGAAAAUUUUUAAGUUUUAAGUUAUUUUUGCAAAUUAACUCUUCAUAUAUAAAACGUGUAUUACAGUAUAUAUUACAUAAAUAUACAUAUUAUUAUCAGAUGUAUAUGCAUUCAUUUUGAAUAUGUUUCCAUCCGGCUUUGAUUUGAUGGUUUCACAGAAGCACACUUCCAUGUCAGACGUGUUUGACUUUGAGCAACGUCCUUAAUUAUUCAUGAGAUGACGCAACAUCUGCCGCGUGCGCUUCUUUAUGUAUUAUUAUUCAGUUUUUAGAUAUGAUUAGUGUGUAUGAGUUUAUAAAUGUUCACUGAGAUCAUUUAAAUAGAGUUGUUGUGUGUUCGUGAAGUGUUGAAUCAUGCUGAGCGCGUGACUGCGGCUGCGCCUGCGCGCGCGACCCACGUGCUUUGUCCCGGCAGGCGCAUGCUCGAGCGAGCGAACAUGGCGACGCGCUGCACGUCUCGCGUUACCGGACAGUGAGACACGCCGAGAGAGAGAAAAGGAGAAACGGUUUUGUCUGUAGGUGCUGCCUCUCGAUGCAGAUGCUCCGGGUGAAAUGAAUAAGGCACCUCAGCCUCUGUCAGGACCCCCCUCCGCCCCGCUUCCCGCGCCCUCCCCGGGUCUGUCCCAGCCCAGUUUUCCUCCUGCUCCGGUUGUGUUCGGCACCCCUCCACCACAGAUGAACCCCGCCGCCCAACCCCGACAGGUACGCAUCACUUCCUGUGGGCCUGCUGGGUCAUUGCCCCAUUCGUUUUCCCCAUUGGCAUUUCAAGAUUCAAGAAAGAACCAAACCAGUCAGAAUGUGUUACAUUCAAUAUACAUUUUAAAGGUAUUUAGAUAUUAAAGACUUAAGCAUCAGAAAAACACCAUAAAGCAGAGAUUCCCAAAAUCUGUGAGCUUAAAUAUUUACUUGUAGUCUCACCGAGAUUCUAAUUUAUUUCAAUAAUUAAGCACAUUGAUAUGGUCACAGUUCUCAGAAUCAGUGGUUACAUGACAUGGAGGUAAACAAAUACACUUUCACCUUUUUAGUAAGUGUUUUAUUUUCAUGUUUUUAAUUUUUUUAAAUGCUAUGGUUGUUGGGAAAACCUGCCGUAAAAACACUUUCAAAGAUAGAAUCAAAUUUAAUACAAAAUUAGUACAUUCUGAUUUUUUUCCAAGAAAAAGAAGUUUAAUAAUUCAUAUUAAAAAUAAAUAAAUGUGAAAAUUAAAAAAAAUUAAAUAUAAUAAAAGUAUUGUUUAAUUUCUAUUAAAGUAUUUGUUAUUAAUUAAUAACCUGUUUAUUUUACAUUUAAAAUUUGUUUUAGUAAUUUAGUAAGCG
This 1703-nucleotide long non-coding RNA is filed under the name Carassius auratus (goldfish). RNAcentral's name for it is "lncRNA (ENSCARG00000009597.1)". The record is from RNAcentral. Lineage: Eukaryota; Metazoa; Chordata; Actinopteri; Cypriniformes; Cyprinidae.